UAUUUAAGAAAGUAUUUUUCUCAACAGCAGCUCUAACAACAAUGCUAAUCAGAUCUAUGCUUUGUAUAAAAGAUUUGGUGAAGGGUCUCAUUGUUGAAUGCCUUUGAACCCUUCAAUAAUAGUUGAGUAGGAGAAAUGAUUAAGACUUUUUUAUUGUCAACAAAUAUCCUAGAGCAUAGCAUUUGUUCCUCCUGUAACUACUACUAGAGUACCUAUAAAAUAAAAA
This 226-nucleotide unclassified non-coding RNA is filed under the name Hevea brasiliensis (rubber tree). The record is from RNAcentral. Lineage: Eukaryota; Viridiplantae; Streptophyta; Magnoliopsida; Malpighiales; Euphorbiaceae.